This 73-nucleotide transfer RNA is filed under the name Planctomycetota bacterium. RNAcentral describes it as "tRNA-Gln". It matches the Rfam family "tRNA". From Rfam's summary of the family: Transfer RNA (tRNA) molecules are approximately 80 nucleotides in length. Their secondary structure includes four short double-helical elements and three loops (D, anti-codon, and T loops). Lineage: Bacteria; Pseudomonadati; Planctomycetota. The record is from RNAcentral.
UGGGGUUUGGUGUAACUGGUAAGCAUACCUGACUUUGAAUCAGGCGGUCUGGGUUCAAAUCCCGGGACCCCGG